CUACGGGAGGCUCCAGUGAGGAAUAUUGCACAAUGGGGGGAACCCUGAUGCAGCAACGCCGCGUGGAGGAUGACGCAUUUCGGUGUGUAAACUCCUUUUAUAUGUCAAGAAAAUGACGGUAGCAUAUGAAUAAGCACCGGCUAACUCCGUGCCAGCGAGCCGCGGUAAUACGGAGGGUGCAAGCGUUACUCGGAAUCACUGGGCGUAAAGGACGCGUAGGCGGGUUGGAAAGUCAGGUGUGAAAUCCUACAGCUUAACUGUAGAACUGCACUUAAAACUUCUAAUCUAGGGUAUGGGAGGGGGAGAUGGAAUCAGUGGUGUAGGGGUAAAAUCCGUAGAUAUCACUAGGAAUACCUAAAGCGAAGGCGAUCUCCUGGAACAUUACUGACGCUAAGGCGUGAAAGCGUGGGGAGCAAACAGGAUUAGAUACCCCCGUAGUC
Molecule: ribosomal RNA, 440 nt
Filed under: uncultured bacterium
Lineage: Bacteria
Description: partial 16S ribosomal RNA
Rfam family: Bacterial small subunit ribosomal RNA
Source: RNAcentral